AUGAAUUAAACUUGGUCAAGCUGUUGCUGGUCUUUCGGGACAUGUGCACGUUUGCCACCAAUUUUAACCACCUGUGCACCAUUUGUAGACUGGAAACGUUUCUCGAGGCAACUCGGAUUGAGGACUGCUGUGCGCAAGCCGGCUGUUCUUGUGUUUCUCAGUCUAUGUUUUUAUAUACUCCUAAUGAAUGUAUCAGAAUGUAUUGCUGGGCCUUAGUGCCUUUAAAUCAAAUA
RNAcentral lists this unclassified non-coding RNA (233 nucleotides) under uncultured Clitopilus. RNAcentral describes it as "sequence contains ITS1". Lineage: Eukaryota; Fungi; Basidiomycota; Agaricomycetes; Agaricales; Entolomataceae. The record is from RNAcentral.